GUAAUGAGAAGUUAAUUGCCAGGCUUUGAUACAUUUGGAUGGGGUUUGUAUUUUGUUAUCUUUUGUACUUCAGGCAACGUUACUUAUCUUAAAAUUGAUUGUAGAAUGCCUUAAAUGUAUCUGCAGUGGCUUAUUGUUCUUUUAAUAAUAAUUAAAGUGUUCUUUAAUAAUCACUCUUUUGUAAUAGGUAUCUCUCUUGUCACAGAUAGCUUCUGUGAUCCGGAAACUCCUAUCUCCUCUGGGAGCUAACGUUAAUUUUUGCAGCUGUCUUGUUAUCCAGCAGUAUUCUUUGUUUUGCUUUAACACAGCCACCCAGGAGUAUUUAUUAAGCACUGCACAGUUUAACUGCCUAUAAAGAUUAGGCCCAGGCUAUUUACUUACUGGGUUGGUUAAAAUUGGCAAUUGGGAUAAUAGUCUUCCCUUUCCAAUGGCUGGUGCAGCUGGCACAUUUCCUGCCAGGUUGAAAAAUAUCAGUGCACUGUUUAAUAUGUCUCUUUGAAGAGAAAUCUGAAGCCAGGGAAUGCAAAUGGAAGCCUGCUCACUGUUUGUUUUUUAUCAGUGUGUUGUACAGAGCGAAUGGCCUCGGACCUUCAAUGGCUGUGCACUGCUUUCUCAGGACUUUCCCUCAAAGGGAAGAACUGACCCUUAUCUCUUUCCCUUUUCUCCACCAUUAGAGCUCAGAGAUCCCAAGAGGCAAAGCGGGGAAAGUUUUAGAAAUCAUUUCACUCUGGAAAGCUUUCAGAUCACAGAUUCCUGCUCAUAAGUGGAUAAAUGAUGCAGUAAAAUUGAACAAACACAGCUCGUCCUACAUUCUGAAGAUGGGGCACAUUUAUCAGAAGAGAAAAACUGCCAGAGAGAAUUCACAUCAGUGCAGACCGAGAGUCUCAGAUGGCUAAGAGAUGUGCCUGACAACUUUUCAGAAAUAAGACUAUUAAAAGAAGGUCAGCUUGGAGUCUUACUGCGAAGAAUUAUAAACAGGCACGUGGAUUAUAAAUAGGGAGUUGGCAUGGUGGUUAAAUUUUUCUAAAACAGUCAUAUUAAUGUGUUCAAAAAUCCACUGCUGAGUCUCAGAGAGAGGGUCACAUCUGGCCAUGAAAAUCUUCUUCUCUGCGGGGUUGCAAUCCAUGCAGCUGUUGCUCACAGGAUGGAAUAAUGUUCUGUCCUGGAGGAGUGAGGAAGAAAAGAAAAGACUGUUGUAAUACGUGGUGAAUGGUUACAACCCAAAAUAUACAGAAGUAAGAUAUUUCUGUUUAUAUUUCAGUAUAUAUUUAUUGUGUAAAUAGAACAGCUCCCAAAUCAAACAAUAGCAGGUGGAGUUGCCCAUGUGGAAUGUGAAUUUGUAGGCUGUAUUGGCACUAUGUAGGGCCUACAAGCAGGUUCAAUUAGAGACAAUAAAUGUAUUUAUUCAUUCAAUCAUCCACUUCUUUUAAAAAAGCAAUCCAUUCAUUUUCUGCUCUGUGGUGAGCUUUUUGCUAUCUGCUUAAAUUUUGAAAAUAGUAAGUAUAUGGGGUUGCUUGGCAAGUAACCAAUAAUGUAGCUAUCUGGGAAGAAACACAUACACAAAAAAUUGUAUUUUAGUCCGCAGUAAAUAAUACCCCCUGCUCACACGCACACACAAUGACUAGAAGAGUCAUAAUUCCCU
Molecule: long non-coding RNA, 1642 nt
Filed under: Homo sapiens (human)
Lineage: Eukaryota; Metazoa; Chordata; Mammalia; Primates; Hominidae
Description: HSALNT0080821
Source: RNAcentral